RNAcentral lists this ribosomal RNA (253 nucleotides) under uncultured bacterium. RNAcentral's name for it is "partial 16S ribosomal RNA". It matches the Rfam family "Bacterial small subunit ribosomal RNA", at positions 524 to 776 of the family's 1533-position model. The record is from RNAcentral.
UACGAAGGGUGCAAGCGUUACCCGGAAUUACUGGGCGUAAAGCGUGCGUAGGCGGUUUGUUAAGUCCGUUGUGAAAGCCCUGGGCUCAACCUGGGAAUUGCAGUGGAUACUGGCGAGCUAGAGUGCGGUAGAGGAUGGUGGAAUUCCCGGUGUAGCGGUGAAAUGCGUAGAGAUCCGGAAGAACACCGGUGGCGAAGGCGGCCUGCUGGGCAGUUGCUGACACUGAGGCGCGACAGCGUGGGGAGCAAACAGG